GUCAGGAUGGCCGAGCGGUCUAAGGCGCUGCGUUCAGGUCGCAGUCCACUUCUGUGUUGUGGGUUCGAAUCCCACUUCUGACA
Molecule: non-coding RNA, 83 nt
Organism: Trichonephila clavipes
Lineage: Eukaryota; Metazoa; Arthropoda; Arachnida; Araneae; Nephilidae
Source: the annotation of a GenBank genome assembly